This 965-nucleotide unclassified non-coding RNA is filed under the name Hevea brasiliensis (rubber tree). The record is from RNAcentral. Lineage: Eukaryota; Viridiplantae; Streptophyta; Magnoliopsida; Malpighiales; Euphorbiaceae.
GUUUCAAUUGUUUCUUCCCAAAAUAUGUACAUGUGUUAAAGUUUCAGGAGAAGUUAUAUUGACCUGAAAAACCCCCCACUUACUUCAUCCCAAGUUUAGCAUAGCUAUCAUAUUUGGGAAAAUUUUGGUAAAAUCAGGCUACGUUGGAAGAAGGCUUGUAAAAUGAACAAAAAAAUACACAAAACUGCGGGAACUAUUGCCUGCAAACUCUUCUCGAGACACUUUUGACUCUUCUCUGAUGCUCCUCAUCUUUGGCUGGCAAGAAAAAGGAAACCUUAAGUUGAAGCGACUUACGAACGCUGUCUGGUUUCCUUAAGCAAGAUUUUAGCAUGGUAACCUCUUUGCUGUGUCUGAACUCUAUGUCACCAACUUUCGUUUUGUGAAAUUCUGCAGUGAUGUUAGUGUUAAUAUUAUGAUCUUCUUCAUGAUUGGAAGAUUUAAUGAUAAUUCUGGAAGUCUCCGCUGGUUUAUCUUCAAGACUAAGGUGGGACAUUUUGUGCUUGAGCAUAAUUUCAGGCCAUGAACCAACCUUGUUUUGUUUUCUGGUUUUCAAAUCACGGUCUUGAUCUAGGGAAGGUAUCCACAUACAGGAUGUAGUAGGAGGUGAUUUGUAAAGCUGUGUGUGACGAUUUAGAUGUUUUGGUGUUGAACCAGCAUGUGACUUUAUUGGGGAGUCUUGAUUUUGAACUUGCUCGUUAACACCUUUCUCUGGAGAUUGAUUUUGGUUUGGAGAAUGCUGGUUUCUCUCCCUGUGAGCUUUCAUCAAGUCGUAGAUAGUGCGAUUAGGAACAAUGAAGAAAACUUUUCCCAGGUUCAGGACAGACUCAGGUUUUACCACAACCCAAGGAUACUCGAACACAUCUGGCCUGGUAACAGAGUGCCUGGGAUACUUCUUCAUGAUUUCAGCUGCAGUUACAGGCUGUCUGUGAAUUUCCACAUAUCUACCUGGAUGCACCAGUUUCAGC